AUUGAACGCUGGCGGCAUGCCUUACACGAUGCAAGUCGAACGGCAGCACGGGAGCAAUCCUGGUGGCGAGUGGGCGAACGGGUGAGUAAUAUAUCGGAACGUGCCCAGUCGUGGGGGAUAACGUAGCGAAAGCUACGCUAAUACCGCAUACGAUCUAUGGAUGAAANCGGGGGAUCGCAAGACCUCGCGCGAUUGGAGCGGCCGAUAUCAGAUUAGGUAGUUGGUGAGGUAAAGGCUCACCAAGCCGACGAUCUGUAGCUGGUCUGAGAGGACGACCAGCCACACUGGGACUGAGACACGGCCCAGACUCCUACGGGAGGCAGCAGUGGGGAAUUUUGGACAAUGGGCGCAAGCCUGAUCCAGCAAUGCCGCGUGCAGGAUGAAGGCCUUCGGGUUGUAAACUGCUUUUGUACGGAACGAAACGGUGAGCUCUAAUACAGUUUGCUAAUGACGGUACCGUAAGAAUAAGCACCGGCUAACUACGUG
Molecule: ribosomal RNA, 486 nt
Filed under: uncultured bacterium
Lineage: Bacteria
Description: bacterial SSU rRNA
Rfam family: Bacterial small subunit ribosomal RNA
Source: RNAcentral